Molecule: ribosomal RNA, 499 nt
Filed under: uncultured bacterium
Lineage: Bacteria
Description: partial 16S ribosomal RNA
Rfam family: Bacterial small subunit ribosomal RNA
Source: RNAcentral
GACGAACGCUGGCGGCGUGCCUAAUACAUGCAAGUCGAGCGAAGUUUUUCUGGUUCUUGCACUAGAAAAACUUAGCGGCGAACGGGUGAGUAACACGUAAAGAUCCUGCCUCAUAGACUGGGACAACUAUUGGAAACGAUAGCUAAUACCGGAUAACAGUAUUUCUCGCAUGAGAGAUAUUUAAAAGUUGGUUAUGCUAACACUAUGAGAUGGCUUUGCGGUGCAUUAGCUAGUUGGUGGGGUAAAGGCCCACCAAGGCGACGAUGCAUAGCCGACCUGAGAGGGUGAUCGGCCACACUGGGACUGAGACACGGCCCAGACUCCUACGGGAGGCAGCAGUAGGGAAUCUUCCGCAAUGGGCGAAAGCCUGACGGAGCAACGCCGCGUGAGUGAAGAAGGAUUUCGGUUCGUAAAGCUCUGUUGUUAGGGAAGAAUGGAUAUGUAGUAACUAUACAUGUAAGAGACGGUACCUAACCAGAAAGCCACGGCUAACUACGUG